Molecule: unclassified non-coding RNA, 260 nt
Filed under: Microbotryum cordae
Lineage: Eukaryota; Fungi; Basidiomycota; Microbotryomycetes; Microbotryales; Microbotryaceae
Description: partial internal transcribed spacer 2
Source: RNAcentral
ACUCUUCAACCCCCAACUUUUCUUUAUUGAAAUUUUGGCGCGGCUUGGUUUCUGAACGUUUUUUAUGCUGGAGAUCACCCUUUGGGUGGAAUCGAAGCUCGUUCGUAAUACAUUAGCAUCCUAAUCUUCGAGAUCAGAUUGACUCGGCGUAAUAGACUAUUCGCUGAGGACAUGGCCCCCCGUCAAAAAGGGAGUUGUGGCUGGACUUGAAAAGUUGGAAGCUUACAAAACCCGACAAUUUAGUCAAAUCAUUUUCUAAG